GGUGACGACAGUUAGGGCGACGACGGCUAUGGUUUUCCCUCCUUUUUUGCUGCUGAAAAUGUUUAGUUUUUGGGCUAUUGGGCCACUAGGGUUUUUGUUGCAUUUGGACUGAUUUGGAUUUUAGGUUUGGGCUAUUGGGUUUGUUGGGUUUAUGUAAUUCUGGACUAGACUUUAUUUUUUUUUAUUUUGGGUCUGUUUGAUUUUUUAUUUUGUUUUGUUUUAUUUAUUUGGGUUUAUUUAUCUGUAUUUGACUUUUAGGCCCAGGCUAAAAUUGGGCCUUACAGCUUUCUUGGAAAAUUCCAGCAUGUGUGACUAUAUUUGGGUGUAAAUAAAAUCAGCACUUGGGUAUAGGGGUUAAUUGUGAAAAUAAGCUUUAGGUCUUAG
RNAcentral lists this long non-coding RNA (384 nucleotides) under Gossypium raimondii (Peruvian cotton). RNAcentral's name for it is "long non-coding RNA (GRAI_LNC006202)". Lineage: Eukaryota; Viridiplantae; Streptophyta; Magnoliopsida; Malvales; Malvaceae. The record is from RNAcentral.